RNAcentral lists this ribosomal RNA (84 nucleotides) under uncultured bacterium. RNAcentral describes it as "partial 16S ribosomal RNA". The record is from RNAcentral.
AUUAGAUACCCGGGUAGUCCACGCCCUAAACUAUGUCAACUAGUUGUCGGGAAAGCAAUUUCUUGGUAACGAAGCUAACGCGUG